GACGAACGCUGGCGGCGUGCUUAACACAUGCAAGUCGAACGGAAAGGCCCGGCUUUUGCGGGGUGCUCGAGUGGCGAACGGGGGAGUAACACGUGAGUAACCUGCCCUUGACUUUGUGAGAACUUCAGGAAACUGGGGCUAAUACCGCAUAUGAGCUCCUGCUGCAUGGUGGGGGUUGGAAAGUGUCGGCGGUUGUGGAUGGACUCGCGGCUUAUCAGCUUCUUUGUGAGGUAGUGGCUUACCAAGGCUUUGACGGGUAGCCGGCCUGAGAGGGUGACCGGCCACAUUGGGACUGAGGUACGGAGCAGAAUGCUACGGGCGGCAGAGGUGGGGAAUAUUGCACAAUGAGCGGACGCCUGUUGCAGAAAUGCUGCGAGCGGGAUGACGGCUUUCGGGUUGUAAACAGAUUUCGACUGUGACGAGGAGUGAGUGACGGUACUGGGUCAAUAAGCAACGGCUAACUACGUG
RNAcentral lists this ribosomal RNA (468 nucleotides) under uncultured bacterium. Its description in RNAcentral is "partial 16S ribosomal RNA". It matches the Rfam family "Bacterial small subunit ribosomal RNA", at positions 28 to 507 of the family's 1533-position model. The record is from RNAcentral.